Molecule: ribosomal RNA, 342 nt
Filed under: uncultured soil bacterium
Lineage: Bacteria
Description: bacterial SSU rRNA
Rfam family: Bacterial small subunit ribosomal RNA
Source: RNAcentral
AGAGUGAACGCUGGCGGUAGGCCUAACACAUGCAAGUCGAACGGCAGCACAGGAGAGCUUGCUCUCUGGGUGGCGAGUGGCGGACGGGUGAGGAAUACAUCGGAAUCUACCUUUUCGUGGGGGAUAACGUAGGGAAACUUACGCUAAUACCGCAUAAGACCUUCGGGUGAAAGCCGGGGACCUUCGGGCCUGGCGCGGAUAGAUGAGCCGAUGUCGGAUUAGCUUGUUGGCGGGGUAAAAGCCCACCAAGGCGACGAUCCGUAGCUGGUCUGAGAGGAUGAUCAGCCACACUGGAACUGAGACACGGUCCAGACUCCGUACGGGAGCAGCGAGUGGGGAAUA